Molecule: unclassified non-coding RNA, 185 nt
Filed under: uncultured fungus
Lineage: Eukaryota; Fungi
Description: sequence contains ITS1
Source: RNAcentral
CUCCGUCGGUUUAUAGAUCUCGCUCGUUUCCCAAUCUCCCGGCAAUCCACCGCAGAUGCCAAUAACGCCACGGAGAAAAUCCGGAUGGGUAAACGCGAACCGAUAGUUGAGCGCGCAGGUCUGCGAGAAGCCGAGUAGAAACACUCGCUGCUUAUCGACCACGCCUUCCGUCGUCAGUUUUUGCA